AGACUUCAAAAACCCUUAAAAUAUCAUUUUAAUUUUAAAUUACUAAAAAGUAGUAGGAUUUUCCCUUAGUAAAGUACUUAAGCAUAGCUGAUGUAGAAAAUUAUCUGUUGUAGAUUAUGUUCUGGUUUUAUCAUACUCCAAAUAUUUUGGGGCUGGGGUUGUAUCUCACUGGUGGAGUGCUUGCGUAGCAUGUACAAGGCACUGGGUUUGAGUAAUGCAUAUAAAUAAAUAAAAGGUUCAUUAACUACUAAAAUUUUUUUUAAAAAAUAUACACUGGAUUAAAGAUGAUAUAGUAAAUUUCAAAACACUCUAAAUAUUUGCUAAGCCUAGAAGAGCCUCUUCUAAAGUCAUUUUUAUUUUCAUCUACUUUAAACAAAAAAAUAAGACCAAAGUCACAUAUAAAGAGAAAACAGAAAAAGCCAUUGACACAUCUUCCAGUGUAAAAUCAAAAUGCUAAGGCAGGAGCUAGAGUUGUAGUUUAGUGUAGAGCACUUGCCUACCGUGUGUGAGACACUAGGUUUGAUUCUCAACACUGCAUAUAAAAAAAUAAAAUAAAGUACAUUGACAACUAAAAAAAUAUAUUUAAAAAGUACUAAAGCAAAUAAAUGGAGAAAUAUCUAAGAACUAAUUUGUUCUUAGAAAACACUAUAAGAUCUUACAAUGUUUAUAGGGGAAUUGCAGGUAAUCCACAAUACUUAGUUACAUACUUUGUUUUUUGGAACUAUUGUUAAAUUAUGGUAACUGUAGCAUUUUUAGUUCAGCAGCAACUGGAAUACUAAUUGUUUGGGGAUUUGAUCACCAAACAGCAGAACAGUGUAGAAUAUAGUUUUACUUAAGAGAUUACUGCUCAAUUUAUGAGUAGUUGCUAGCAAAUAAAAUUACUUAAUUUUUAUAUGCUAUACUCUUAAGCAUAAGUAUGCACAUCAAUAUAUAGUUUCUUUAACAUUGCUGUAUAUUGUUGGGCUGGGGUUGUGGCUCAGCGGUAGAAUGCUCGCCUAGCACAUGCUAGGCCCUGUGUUUGAUCCUCAACACCACAUAUAAUAAAUAAAAUAAAGGUAUUGUGUCCAACUACAACUAAAAAAUAAAUAUUUUUUAAAAACAUUGCUGUAUAUUAAGAUAAUUCAUUAGGGUUAUGGAGUAUAACUCAGUAGUAGAGUGUGUGUAUGCCUAGCAGGUGUAAGGCCCUGGGUGUUCAAUCCUCAGUGUCUCCCCAAUACUGUCCAAAAAAAAAAGACAAUUCGUUUUUUUAUCAUAGUAGAGCUCUGAUUAAUAGCUUAAAUGAAAGUAAGCUUCCCCACAAGAAACCCAGUGACUUGCAUAAUGACAAACUGAACAAGUUGGAAAUGUUUCUAAUUUUAACUUAAUUUUAUUAAUACAAAUAAAUAACAAAUUAAAUAAAAUUUAGCAAGUAUUAAAUCUUUAGAUGUCAGACAUUUUGCCACACAUACAAUGUUUUUGAAAUAACAAUGCAUAUUUUCUAUUUUAUGUACCUUUAAGAAAGCAAUGAUCUUUGAAUGUCUAUCAGUGUUAAUUUUUUUUUUAUUAAAUAUCCUUUCAGAGCCUAAACAGUUGGCUUUUGUUGUUGUUGUUCUGAAAAGUCCUGUUUCUUGACAAAUUUUCUGGAAUUAUAUUUGUUUUCUUGAUGAGAAAAAAAAAGUAUUCUUAGUCCUUUGGCACCUUUUUCUCUUACCCUGUGUCCAAUACAGCUAUCUUUCAAGUCAUCUUUCCUAUUUAGUGAGGCCACAAUAAACCAAGGAGUGUGCAUGCAUGUCCUUAUUUCUUACAGGUUUCCCAGCUACCUGGUAGUGGAAUUGCUACAGAAGUCAUAUACCUAGUAAGGUGUCAAGUAACCAUAGACUUUUGUAGCAUUUUUACCUCCCAAUAUUUAUCGACAUAAAAAUCUGUCAUCAUACAAUUGAGUACUAUUCAUAUAAAGAGGUUGACCCUUUAGUAAAAAUCACACAAAGAGGUUAAUGUUUGUUUUUUAUUGAUAUAAGAUGGUUCUUCCAGUUGCACAUUUUGCUCGGCACCUCAUACUUGCUCUAAUCUCUGAAAGUGAACAAUUAUCCUGGCAAUAAAAUCUUUGUUAUUAACCAAAGAACUGUAAGCAUGUUGAAUCAACAUAGGAUGAGAAAUGUGAGACAGGUGCCUAUUGUUUGUGCUUGGAGAACAGUCUGAUAAGCAAUACUGGGCUUCUUGAACACUUGAAUCUCUUCCCAAGUGUGGUCACUUAAUGCCCACAUUGCGAAUAGGAUGAAGUUGAGGGGCAGAAGGAAUCAUCCAAACGUGUUAAAGAUAGAUGUCCUAUAGUUUCACACGGCAUAAAGUGUUUAUCAUAAGAUAUAAACUUCCGAUUGGUUUCCAAGAAAAGUAACACCAUUAGUUUGUUAUUAGUACUGUUAUGGUGGUAAUGAUUUGUGUCUGAGAAACAAUAAUAAAGAUAAAUAUAAUGCUCUCUUUUUGAGCUUGCCUUCUAGGAAAAAUCAUCCUAUGAAUCAAAGUCAAAGGAAACUGAGGAAAUCACUAUAAGAAGAAAAAAAAAAGUGCUGCGGACUGGGUCUUCUAAUUUAAGCCAAUCUUCUGAUUUAGAAAAAGACAUGGGUUAAAUGAUCUGACCAGUUAAUAGUUGACAUAGUUGUGUAUUACAAUGGUUAUAGAGUUUUCUGACAGUCUCUUAAUGUGUUAGAAUUUUUUUUUUUUUCAAAUACUCCAUUUUGGGGGUCAAUGUGACUUCUACACUAUCACAAUAUCAGCACUAAUGAGAAUAAUACAUGCUUUUGCAAGUUAACCUCCCACUUUAAAAUCUGAUAUUACCUGUAAUUCCUGAUGACAUAUGUAUUCAACAAAAAACUGGACCAGUGAAUUGUAGAAACUGAAAAUUUGGUCACAAAUGUUGCAUCUAUUAAUAUUUAUUUAUUUGAUACUGAGGCACUUUACCAUACUGAGUCACAUCCCCAGUCCUUUUAAUUUAUUUUGAGACAGGGUCUCACUAAGGCUAUUCUAAGAGGAGAGAGAAGAGAGUUGCUAAGGCUAUUCUUCAGCCCAAGAUUCUCCUUCCUCAGCCUCCCAAAUCUCUGGGAUUACAAACAUGGAACACCAUGCCUGACUGUCUCUAUUAAUAAUUAAAUGAAGAAUUUGUUAGCUACAUUUUAGUGGUAAUAAAAUGAUACCAUUUGUCUGCAGCAUCCAAAGAAUACAUCAAAUUUCUUAUGUUCCGCAAUCUGUAUAUGGGGUAAAAAUGGGAGCUCAUAACCCACUUGAAUCAAAGUGUGAAAUAUGAUAUAUCAAGAACUAUGUAAUGUUUUGAACAGCCAACAAUA
RNAcentral lists this long non-coding RNA (3320 nucleotides) under Marmota monax (woodchuck). The record is from RNAcentral. Lineage: Eukaryota; Metazoa; Chordata; Mammalia; Rodentia; Sciuridae.